GACAGCUGGCGGCGUGCUUAACACAUGCAAGUCGAACGGUGAGCUCGGAGCUUGCUCCGGGCGAUCAGUGGCGAACGGGUGAGUAACACGUGAGUAACCUGCCCCAGACUCUGGGAUAACCCCGGGAAACCGGAGCUAAUACCGGAUACGACACGAAGAGGCAUCUCUAUCGUGUGGAAAGUUUUUCGGUCUGGGAUGGACUCGCGGCCUAUCAGCUAGUUGGUGAGGUAACGGCUCACCAAGGCGACGACGGGUAGCCGGCCUGAGAGGGCGACCGGCCACACUGGGACUGAGACACGGCCCAGACUCCUACGGGAGGCAGCAGUGGGGAAUAUUGCACAAUGGGCGAAAGCCUGAUGCAGCGACGCCGCGUGGGGGAUGACGGCCUUCGGGUUGUAAACCCCUUUCAGCAGGGAAGAAGCGAAAGUGACGGUACCUGCAGAAGAAGCACCGGCUAACUACGUGCCAGCAGCCGCGGUAAUACGUAGGGUGCGAGCGUUGUCCGGAAUUAUUGGGCGUAAAGAGCUUGUAGGCGGUCUGUCGCGUCUGCUGUGAAAAUCCGGGGCUCAACCCCGGACUUGCAGUGGGUACGGGCAGACUAGAGUGUGGUAGGGGAGACUGGAAUUCCUGGUGUAGCGGUGAAAUGCGCAGAUAUCAGGAGGAACACCGAUGGCGAAGGCAGGUCUCUGGGCCACUACUGACGCUGAGAAGCGAAAGCAUGGGGGAGCGAACAGGAUUAGAUACCCUGGUAGUCCAUGCCGUAAAACGUUGGGAACUAGGUGUGGGUCUCAUUCCACGAG
This 800-nucleotide ribosomal RNA is filed under the name uncultured earthworm intestine bacterium. RNAcentral describes it as "bacterial SSU rRNA". It matches the Rfam family "Bacterial small subunit ribosomal RNA", at positions 31 to 838 of the family's 1533-position model. The record is from RNAcentral.